This 791-nucleotide ribosomal RNA is filed under the name uncultured bacterium. RNAcentral describes it as "bacterial SSU rRNA". It matches the Rfam family "Bacterial small subunit ribosomal RNA", at positions 8 to 790 of the family's 1533-position model. The record is from RNAcentral.
GGAGAGUUUGAGCAUGGCUCAGAUUGAACGCUGGCGGCAUGCCUUACACAUGCAAGUCGAACGGCAGCACGGGUGCUUGCACCUGGUGACGAGUGGCGAACGGGUGAGUAAUACAUCGGAACGUGUCCUGUAGUGGGGGAUAGCCCGGCGAAAGCCGGAUUAAUACCGCAUACGAUCUACGGAUGAAAGCGGGGGAUCUUCGGACCUCGCGCUAUAGGGGCGGCCGAUGGCGGAUUAGCUAGUUGGUGAGGUAAAGGCUCACCAAGGCGACGAUCCGUAGCUGGUCUGAGAGGACGACCAGCCACACUGGGACUGAGACACGGCCCAGACUCCUACGGGAGGCAGCAGUGGGGAAUUUUGGACAAUGGGCGAAAGCCUGAUCCAGCAAUGCCGCGUGUGUGAAGAAGGCCUUCGGGUUGUAAAGCACUUUUGUCCGGAAAGAAAUCCCUGGUCCUAAUAUGGCCGGGGGAUGACGGUACCGGAAGAAUAAGCACCGGCUAACUACGUGCCAGCAGCCGCGGUAAUACGUAGGGUGCAAGCGUUAAUCGGAAUUACUGGGCGUAAAGCGUGCGCAGGCGGUGAUGUAAGACCGAUGUGAAAUCCCCGGGCUCAACCUGGGAACUGCAUUGGUGACUGCAUCGCUUGAGUAUGGCAGAGGGGGGUAGAAUUCCACGUGUAGCAGUGAAAUGCGUAGAGAUGUGGAGGAAUACCGAUGGCGAAGGCAGCCCCCUGGGUCAAUACUGACGCUCAUGCACGAAAGCGUGGGGUGCAAACAGGAUUAGAUACCCUGG